RNAcentral lists this long non-coding RNA (244 nucleotides) under Cyanistes caeruleus (blue tit). RNAcentral's name for it is "lncRNA (ENSCCEG00000017687.1)". Lineage: Eukaryota; Metazoa; Chordata; Aves; Passeriformes; Paridae. The record is from RNAcentral.
UUGUGUUUUACAGGCCAAGAGCUGACCCAUCUCCUCUUUAAUUCACAAGCUGUCUCCUGACUGCAAAUUGUCAAAAACAGCUCCAACAUGGCAGUGUCUGGAGUUGGAAUGCUUACACCCAAAUGAGCUUUCAGGAAACAGCCAAUAUUCACAAACCAGAUCCCAGCACUUCGAGAAUUCCAUCACCAAGAUCUCCCUACAGGGGAAGGCGGCUCAGGUAAGAUUCCUGUCUCUGUGCACUGCC